This 252-nucleotide ribosomal RNA is filed under the name uncultured Bacteroidales bacterium. RNAcentral's name for it is "partial 16S ribosomal RNA". It matches the Rfam family "Bacterial small subunit ribosomal RNA", at positions 524 to 776 of the family's 1533-position model. The record is from RNAcentral. Lineage: Bacteria; Pseudomonadati; Bacteroidota; Bacteroidia; Bacteroidales.
UACGUAGGUGGCAAGCGUUAUCCGGAUUUAUUGGGUUUAAAGGGUGCGUAGGCGGGCAUUUAAGCCGGCGGUCAAAUGUCGGGGCUCAACCCCGGCCUGCCGUCGGAACUGGGUGCCUUGAGUGGGCGAGAAGUAUGCGGAAUGCGUGGUGUAGCGGUGAAAUGCAUAGAUAUCGCGCAGAACUCCGAUUGCGAAGGCAGCAUACCGGCGGCGAUCUGACGCUGAGGCACGAAAGCGCGGGGAUCGAACAGG